This 635-nucleotide ribosomal RNA is filed under the name Austrolophrum cribriceps. Its description in RNAcentral is "eukaryotic LSU rRNA". It matches the Rfam family "Eukaryotic large subunit ribosomal RNA", at positions 671 to 1265 of the family's 3401-position model. Lineage: Eukaryota; Metazoa; Arthropoda; Insecta; Coleoptera; Staphylinidae. The record is from RNAcentral.
GAGUCUAGCAUGUGCGCGAGUCAUUGGGACAAGCGAAACCUAAAGGCGUAAUGAAAGUAAAGGCUCGCCUUGCGCAAGCCGAGGGAGGAUGGGUCGUUGCCACAAGCGCGACCCCGCACUCCCGGGGCGUCUCACUCUCAUUGCGAGAAGAGGCGCACCCAGAGCGUACACGCUGGGACCCGAAAGAUGGUGAACUAUGCCUGGUCAGGACGAAGUCAGGGGAAACCCUGAUGGAGGUCCGUAGCGAUUCUGACGUGCAAAUCGAUCGUCGGAACUGGGUAUAGGGGCGAAAGACUAAUCGAACCAUCUAGUAGCUGGUUCCCUCCGAAGUUUCCCUCAGGAUAGCUGGCGCUCGUUGUGCGAGUCUCAUCCGGUAAAGCGAAUGAUUAGAGGCAUUGGGGUCGAAACGGCCUCAACCUAUUCUCAAACUUUAAAUGGGUGAGAUCUCCGGCUUGCUUAAAACGUGAAGCCGCGAGAUUUCGGAUCAGAGUGCCAAGUGGGCCACUUUUGGUAAGCAGAACUGGCGCUGUGGGAUGAACCAAACGCCGAGUUAAAGCGCCAAAAUCGACGCUUAUGGGAUACCAUGAAAGGCGUUGGUAACUUAGGACAGUAGGACGGUGUCCAUGGAAGUCGGG